CUCGCUAGCCCUACCUCGUCUCCCAUCUCCAGUCGCAGCCGCCGCCGCCGCACCCCAAUCCAACCCCGCCGCCGGCGAUCUCCUCGCCCCCCUGCGCCGCCGCCCCCAACCUUCUAUUCCUCUCCCAAGGGAAGGGAAGGGAAGGCAAGGGAAGGGAAGGGAGAGGGAGCACCCAAAUCCACGGCGGCAUCAGCGCGUCGUCGUCGACCUGAUCCGCGUCCGUCCUCGAGGGAGGUCGGCCAUGGAGGUCCGACCCGGCCCGGCAGUAGCCAUGGACGGACGGAGAUGCUCCAAUCCCUACCCUCAAGGACGACGCCUCAACCUUCAAGGACGCGCGCCGGCGACCGCGGAUCUCCGGUGACGGCUAUGGACGACUGCCCCGGAUCUGGACGCACGACCUGCAGCUGCAACAGCAGCUGGACGACCGAACGCACGAGCCCUCCCUCCCUCCCUCAUGGCUCUGCUUCCUCCCCUCCGUCACCGCCGAGGACCAGCUCGCCGCUCUCGCCGCCGUCGCCCGCGCCUGCGCCGGGCUCGUGGCCGCGCGGACCGCGCCCCUCUGCGCCGUGCUCCAGGACCGCUUGAGAAACCGCCGCCGAUCUCGUCGCUACGAUCCGCUUGAGGAGCCGCCGCCGAUCUCGUCGCUACGAUCCGCUUGAGGAGCCGCCGCCGAUCCCCAUCCAGGUCACAGCCGGUAUAGACGUUCUGGCGCCAAGAUCGGCUAUAGUCGGAAAUAGGUAUUAUAUGUACUCCUUUUUCCUCCUUUUUCUAAAAUUAACUAUUUGGAACAGGAGCUGCCACAUCUGCAAGAUCAGUAUCCUGAAAUUCACAAAUCAGCAAUAGCAAGAUCAGCUACACAGGAUCAAUUGACAAAUCAGCAGAUCUAGGUGAGCUACUCCAUUUUGACUAUGGUUGUAACAGUGUCAACAGUAUGAGUAAUUUGACAUCUGUGAUUUACUCCAUCUGCUACUGUACUUUAGUUUAGUUUACUUAUUAAUCAAAAAUCUUAAAGGAGUACUCCAAUUCAUCGUUAAAACAGUUUAUGCAAGCACUAAAGGAACAGUUUCAGUUAAUUCUAAUUAACUAGGAAAGUUUCAGCUAAUUUAAAAAGGAAAAGUUUUAGUUAAUUUUAAUUAAAAGAAGAGAAGAGAAGAGAAUAGCAGAGCAAGCAAUGCUACUGCUCCAAGCUAAUCUGACUGCAGAUCAGAAACUACUGCAAGCAGCUCCAUGAAAAGGAGUAUUUUGGCACUCAACUGCAGAAUACACAAAUCUCUACAGCAAGCUACUCCAAGCAGUACACCAACUAAUGUCACUUCAAGCAGUACUACACCAACUAAGGUCACUUAAAGCAGUAGUACACCAAGAUACAAAUACUGAUGUUACUUAAAGCAGUAAUCUCUUCAGUUAACUAUAGCUACAAAUACUGCAAGCUACUGCCAAUGACCAAGUACUAACACCAAGCUACACCAAGUACUGUAUGAGUACCAUUGAACUACUCCAAUAAGAACUACUAGAUCAUUGAACUACUCCACGGUGCAGUAAUAUAAAUUCAGUUAAGUGCUUUAAAUUUCGUCAAAUUUGAUUAAUGGAAAAGAUUCACCUAGCAAGGUUUAUUUGACAUGGAGUAGUUUAUUUGAUAGGAGUAAACACUAGCAAUAUUUGACAGUAAAAGCAAUAUUGAAUGGAGUAAACAUUAGCACUAAUUGAAAUGAGUAAACACUAGCAAUAUUGACAUGGAGUAGUUUAUUUGACACUAGCAUUACUGCUGAUAAUAGCAACAUUAAUACAUGGAGUAGUUUAUUUGACAGGAGUAAACAAUAGUAACAGGGUGUGUGGUCAAGGGGGUGUGUGUGCUCAGACAAGAAGAGAGCAAGCAAGCAAGCAGUUAACUGAAACUGAAAAAGGGUGUGUGUGCUCAGACAAGGAGGAGAAUUCAGAGAAGAGAAAUUAACUGUAAUUCAAGCAAAAGCAACAGGCAAGCACUGCUGCAAAAUUCAGCACAAUCAGUUGAUUUUUGCUUGCUUUGUCUGCACUUCAAAAUUCAGCACAAUCAGUAGGCAGUACUGCAUAAUUUUAAAAGGAUUUGAAUCCGUCUGUACUUCACCUAAAAUUCACCUAAGAGCUACUGCAAGCAGGUCUACUUGCUUUUGGGGUGUUCUUGCACAAACUGUUUGUCUGCAAUGCCACAUAAGCAUGUGUGCUAAACCUGUCUGUCUAAAGCAAGCAAACACCAAACAAUUUGUCAGCUAAAUCUGUCUGCUCCAAUCUGUUUGUUGAAGUCUACUUGCACAAAUCCGUCUGCUGCUGCUUGCUCCAAGAACAAGAAGAGAAGAGAAGAGCAGUAAUCUUGCACAAAUCUGUCUGCUACUGCUUGCACAAAUCUCUACAAGGUCUACUGCUCCAAGCAAGCAAGCAGCGCAAGAGAAGAUCUGAAGAUGACAGGAGAAGGGGAAAAGGAGACCUUUUUAAUCCGGCGAGCUCCUUGCUGAGCUCCUCCACCCGCAUCUUUGCCUUGAGCGCGUAGCCAUCCGCGGACACGGGGUCUCCGCGUUUCCACCCUGGCGGCACCCAGUACGGGUCGACGCGGAUCUCCCGGCGCAGGGCCGCGAGCUCGUCCGGCUCGAGCCAGUACUCCAUGGCGCCGUCGGCGUUGUGGCAGCGGCAGAUGCGCUCGGCCUCCUCCAUGGCGCCAUCGGUGUGCUUGAGGAUGUGGUCCAGCCACACCACCGCGACGGCCUCCUCCCUAUCUCCCGCAUCCACCGCCUCCGUCGCCAGAUCCAGAGCAGGCGCAUCAAAGCUUGACCUCGGAUGUGGGGUGCGAGUGGACGACGGGUGUGAGUGGAGGCGGGAGAAAGACAGCGGUGACGGGGAGAGCUGGUGGCCGCCUGGCCGGCGAGGUGGGCGAGGUGGUGGCCGGCGAGGUGGCAGUACAGAGGCGAUGGGGAGAAGAGAGGCGACGACUGAGUGGCGAACAGAGGCGAGCGAGUGGCGAACAGAGGCGGCGCGUGGGUAAAAAUGGAAAGUUCAGAAAAUUCGUAACGUAACAGAACUUGUACAGGAUUUCUCCAGCGACAAGUAUUCCGGAACAGAGGGAGUAGUUUAUACACAGUUCAUACAACAUUGCAUGUUCACACAGCCAACAGUGUGCUAUCCAUUGAUGUGUUAUCCAUUAACGCCUCUCUGUCAGACCUCAUGUGUCGCCCCCCUCCAUUCAUCCAUGCAUGAGUAUCAGUUUCAUGGGUUAAUUUAUCACUGCAUAUUAUUAAUUGUGCUUCUGUUUUUGCCUCUUGCCAGCAAGCACGACAAUAACAAGUUUAGAGCCAUCAGUUUCUCAGUACCCUGUUGGUUUCAGUGUUAAAUGGCCACAAGUUUAUUGAUCUAAAUAUGUAAAUCUUUCUUGUUUUGUUUUCAUUUUCAUGCGCUACUCUAUUAGGAAUAACAACUAAAAAACAUUGAAAGUUGGAUUUGAUUUCCUUCCCAACACAAGCAACAAAUAUAAUAAAUGUCUCGCAUCCUUAACUCCGGCAAAAUAUUAAUUGACUGACACAAUGGAUCUGUCUAUUAAUCAAGAGUGUAUUACUAAAACUACAGAUUGAUUGUUUUUUAGUUAUGCAGCAUAUAGUAUUCUCCCCAGUUCUGCUAGAUUGGAUUGUUAGUUCAUGUACUUUGGUAAAUCAUUUUGGAAAUUUUGAUUAGGAAACUAAUUUGUGUUCAUGUUGGUUUAUCUAUGCUCCUUUGUCAUUGAUGCGCCUACUGUACUGUAAUUAUUUAGUUCCUCCGCUUAUAGGAUGAUCUCAGGUUUAGUAGUGAUAUAAAAAAUACAUUUCUGCGUUUUCCCUCUGCAGCUGUGUUGCUACGUCACUUUCUGUUCCUUAUGGUCUGCCACUAUUUGACGUCCUUUUUGUGCUCAAACAUUUCUCGUUGUUCCUUGCAUGAUCCAAAUGAGCUUGGUUACGUACAAAAUUAUUGUGGAGGGUCUCAGGUAAUCGUUGCUGUUGAAGAUUACGCCCUGGUCAUGAUUUUCAUUUUCAAACUUGCCAUUCAUCAGAGGUUUUGGAUGGAGUGCACUCAUGCAUUAUAUUGGAGUAGGAACCUGGCGAGGAGGAGGAUACCAUGGGGAGGCGAACCUGGUAAAAUAGGGGUGAAAGUAGAAUAUAGACUGUAGGUUCGUGUUUUCCUUAUCGAGGACACUGUGAAGGCUUCUAAUGCAGUUUUACAAGAAGCAUCUAUGGAGCUAAUUCAGAGGAGGUGGUUGAACCGGAAAUUCCAACCGACCUAUUGUCGAGAGGUUAAAUUUAGUUGAAGAAGCAAACAAUUAGUUGAAGGAAAAAUAAAAAAAAUUGAGGAGGAGAAGAUGAUAUUGGAGUUGCAUGUUGCGGAUGUCGUCGAUGAUCACAAGAUCAAGAUGGAUGCAAUGCGCUUGAAGAUUAGAAAGAUUAGAAAAUAUGCCAUUCAUACCGAGGCUUGGUAUCAUUAUGCCGUUGGAUCAAUUGUUACCUUGGUUGCGAUUAUGAUCGCAUUUGUUUUCGCAUUGAAAUGUUUUACAUAGUUUCAAUGUAUGGUUUAAUUAAUUAGAUGCUCUGGAGAGCUAUAUAUAUGUUGUUAGAUGAGAACUAUGUAUGUACUUUUGUUUAAUGUGAUGAUGAACUUAUAUUAAUCUGGUC
Molecule: ribosomal RNA, 4664 nt
Filed under: Triticum aestivum (bread wheat)
Lineage: Eukaryota; Viridiplantae; Streptophyta; Magnoliopsida; Poales; Poaceae
Description: partial small subunit ribosomal RNA
Source: RNAcentral